UUGGAUGGGGAGGACAGAUAGGAACAAGGUCUUCUCAGAAUAAAAGGUAUAGAGAUGAGGAAUUUGAACCUGAGAGCUCAUUAAGGACAAUGACUGAAUCUUACAGAAAAAAAAAAGUGUCUUGUCAAGGACUUGUCAUAGCAAACUUUUAAACAAUAUAACUGGAACAGCAUCACAUUUGAAUGAGCAGCAACAAUAAUAUUGAAUACAAGAAGGGAGAGAAAGUGAGGCAUUUAUUGCAGGGCACCAAGCAAGGAGAAUUGUGCAGUUCAUCCUGAAGACCCAAACUCCCUGAAGUCUUACAUGAUAUUCCAGACUUGUGCUUCCCUUGCCCCAGUCUUGGAAUCACCCAUUUUGAGCAUUUCGUGGGCUUAUUGGAGAUAUCCUCAAAUUGCUCAUCAUCACUUACCUACUGCACUCUACAGUAAGUAAAUAACUCUACUGUACUGCUGGCCUCUUGUUUUUUCCCAUGGCUCUCUUAUCUGGGCAGUCCACUUAUACUCAAUGGUCUCUGUGGGAACGCAGAGUCUAGGAAGUCUUCCAAGUCAAAAGACAGUUAUGGGAAAGUUCCUUUUUUUUCCUCACAUGGCCACAUCUGAUUUUUGGGAAACACACAUUUGAACCAUCAUCUGCAGAAAUUUUGUUUAUUUUAACACAAUCCUUUAUAUGUUGCCACAUGAAAUAUCAGUCAAAUUCUCACCCUUUGUAUUUCCUAUGCAUGUAACAGUUUAUAGUUUUCCUUAUAAUGGAAGAAGACUUAUAUUAAAUUCUUCAAAUGGCCUCCUUGUAGUCUCUAAUGCCAGGCUUAAAGUGAAAAGAAAAAAGUAACCUUUUUUGCUUUCCCUAUUGAAAUAUGGAUUGCUAUUUGAGGCAAUAUUCUAUGCAAAAAUAAGAAAUCCAAAUUUCUACAUCUUUGUUGAAACAUCAGAUUUACUUACAUAGCCAGAAUAUGGGUGACGGUCAGAAAACUCAUUUUUAUCCACUUCCUAUGUGAAUGAAAUAUUGGUUGCUUAAAAUAGUCUUUAAAAUAUAAAAAUAUCCACCAUCUCUUAGGAUCUCAGCUAAAACGGAGAAAGAAUCCCAUUUUAGCAUCAUUUUGUGCAAAGAUGAAUAGGAAGUUGCUGUAUAGGAGUUCACAUUGUAAGAGAAAAUAAUAGGUGUACAAUAUUUACUGCCAGCCUGAUACUUGCUUUAAAGACACAUAAACUGUAUAAGUUGGGAUUCCCAGAGAGUGGGAAAAUAAUUGUGUCAAAAACUGUGUCUGGUUACGUAAGGUAAAUUUUAAAAGGCGGGUAAUAUUUGAGGGGUACUUGAAAGAUGGCACUUAAAAGUUUGGCCGUAAUAGAAUAGCUAAAGAAUAUCCAGUCAUAAGGAGCUGUAUGUUCAAAAGCAAAUAGUAAUGAGAGAAUAAUUUUUUGGGGACGAAGAAAAAAGGAACAAGCUUUGGUAGUGGCAGAAAAUGGGGAAUAACAAUUAUUUUGGUUAAGUAUUUGGGGCAAGGUGUGAAAGGCUUUAUCCCAUAUUUUUAGAAAAUGGAAAAUUAUUAAGGAUUUUUAACUCUGGAGAUUAAUAUGAUGAGAUUUGGUUGAAAGUAAAAUAAAGUGCUCCACAAUAUGUUUUGCAUGAUGAAAUGCUUCAAGGCAGAGAAGUAGAAGAUCCUGUAGAAACUUCUCAAAAAUCAGGUUCAGUAGUUAAAUAUGUGUGAGAUAUCUAUAUUCAACUUACCACACUCAUUAGCCUAGUGAAUAUUCUGACAAUUUUUGAGAUAAAAGAAUCUAUUAAUACUGAAUUAAUUCAACAUCAAUCAAAUGUGUUAGCAGAUAUAAUUUUAAGAACUAUUAAUAUCUUACAGAGAUAUAAAAUAGUAAGAAAAUAGCUUCCAGAUAGCCUGGUGUUGAUGACAUUUAUGAGAGUCAUCGACAUUUAUGAGAGUCAUCAACGUUUAUGACAGAGGCUAUUUAGAAAGUGAUUGCAACUGUUUCCAUGAAAGAUUUUGAGAGUCUUUACUACAACAGUGACAGCUGGGAUAAUGCAGAAUACCAAUGUAGAAGAUUUACUUUAUGAGAGACAUUGAGAGAUUGUGCAAAAAGGAGUAAAGUUUCACUCUGAGAGCUCCACCUUUCAAUUGCUUGUGGAUGUAAAACUAUUCACAGAAAAUAAGCAGGCACGCAAAAGUUAUGUUUAACUUUCAUUAAACCAUCUAUUUGGUCAUCUUCUCAGAAGUAUUAUGCAUUGCAUCAGAUAGUGUUUUAUUGCCUUCCUGAAUGUGGAUGCCACUUGCUAAUUCAUUUGCUAAAUGUUUGAUAAUUCAACACCCAAAGGAUUUAUCACUCUACCCCAGACUCACAGCAGACUCCUUUCUCAAUGAUGGGAAAAUACAUCUGAAUAAUAACAAUCAAAACUUAUUUAGCAAAGAAGGAAGUGUCCAGUUUUAUGAAGUAAGUAUCCUGCUUAAAUAAACAGUGAUACACUAUGAAAUGCCUUAACUAUAUCUUGUAUUUUCUUUCUGAUAAUGUCUGCAACUUGGAAGGAUUUAUGCUUAAAAAAAACAGCUAUGUUUAUAGUUUGAGAAAACUUUCUAUUUCUUGUUGAAAAACUAUAUUAUGAUUUUCAUUCCCAGCCAUAGUGCUGACUAUACACCCUGGGGGAGGGGGGAAAACCAUUGACACGGAAUACAUAGAAAUGCUGUUUCUAAAUGCGUAGCUGACAUUGCAAGAUAUUGAGGGAAAUCCCCAGAAAUAUAAAAUGGAAAAGAAGCUGAAAAACACAGCUAAAGUGAGGCCUAAGACCAUGGGUAUCUUGAGGGCAUUUACUAAGUUUAGUAGCUGAAAUAUUGGGUUUUAAUUUUGGUAUAAGUGAAAGGAAGCAAGGCUUUGGUUGUGUCUAAGGUGGUUACUUAGAAAUAAGAGUUUUACCUAAAAGAAGAAAAUUGGAAAGGCUCAACUUUAGGAAAGUGUAAUUUUAAAAUGUCUUCCCACAGGCAACAUCAGGCAAUAAUAUAUAUCUGUAUCAGCUCACAUCCAAGGCAGAAUUUUAAAAACAGAAAAAGAAAAAUUUCGUUAGCCAUUUAUAAUGAUAUGCCUGGCCUCAUAAAGAUACUGGUUUGGGUUUACAAUUUUUGAGUAGUUAUUAAGUCAAUGAUCAAUUUAAAUUAGGAUUAGGUUAAUAUUUUAUAGCAUUCUGAAGUACGUGGCAGAGAGAAAUUCUCUCUGGAAAGAGACCUAUCUAUCUAUAGGUCUCUGUAGAUAGAUAGACCUAUCUAUCACCUCACCAAGUAUCAAAAGAUUAGAGACAAAAAUAGAUACAAUUGAAAGAAAAAUAGAUGAUUACAUAACCAUAGUGGAAAAUUAUGAAACAUCAAAUCUCAUUAAUUAUCAGAACAAAUGCAUCCAAAUUAAUAUGCAUAUUGGACGUUUUAUAAAUCAGCAAAAUUUAUCCAAAUAUUUAUGUGUAUAUAAAACAAUGCACCUUUAAAUUAGAAAGUGAAUAUUGUUAUAUGGUUCUUUGUCUAAAUAAACACAAUAAUAACAAUUUAAAAAUACUGUAAAAAGCAAGAUAAUAAGAAUAUGACAUCAAAAUCCAUGAAAAACAGCUGAAAAAGCAUUUAGCAAGAUGGUGUCUUACAUUCUAAUCACUAAAAUAUGAAAUAAAAAACAAAAAAGAGGCUCCAAACUGCCAAAGUCUGUUCUGUUGAAUGUAUCAAUAAGAUAGAAAAAAAAGACAUAGUUGAUGAGACAGAGAGAAAGGGAGUAAUUAAUGAACUAUAUUAGAAAAAAAAUGAGCAAAGAAUAACCACAGAUUAAAUUAUUAACAAUAUACUAAAAUAGUUUAGGCAAAUCAUUGUAAAAUCCUAGAGAAAUUCACAAUUUCUAGAAUAAAUAGGGCAUCAAAUAAGCAAUAAGUCAAUUGAAAAGUUGAGAAGACCCAACCAUUAAGUACAUUUUAUCAGUAUUUUAAAAUAUAUACCUCUAUAUGUCACUCAUCAAAAAUAUUUCAGAUAUAGUUAAUUUAAAAAUAAGAUUACAAAGUGGCAAUUAAUCAUCUAAUAUAUAUGAUUUACAGAGUAAUAACUAAUAAUUUUAUAUACAUAAAUAUAUAUAUAUAUAUAGAGAGAGAGAGAGUCUGAAAUCUUUUUAUAUUCUGUGAGGUCACAGAUCUCUUUGCAGAGAUGACUGUUCCUCUGCCAGGAACUUCAGAAUGUUCUAAACUAUUCACCUAAUUUAAAUUGGUCUUUGACCUAAUAACUAAUCAAAAAGCAUAUACAUGUACACCCUUACAGAUAUUACAAAAAUCAAUUAACCUUUUGAGGCUAGUAUUAACUUCAUGUAGUACAAGAUAUUAAAAGAAUAAAAAAUCUCCAACAUGCUCUAUAUAAAUGUUUAUAGAUGUAAUUCCUAAAUAAGAUGUUCACAAAUAAAAUAGACAUCUAGAAACUGUAUAAAAAUAUGCCAUAGAACAUUUCUAUUUAAACAAAAUAAUGCAACGAUAGCUUAACAUUAGAAAAUAUAGUUUAACACAUUAAAUCAAAAGAAAAUGCAUAUAAGUAUUUUAGCUAUUAUAGUUAAAAAAAUAAAAUACAGCAUCCAUUCAUGAUAAAAUGUCUUAAAAACCAUGAGUAGAAAAUAUAACUUAUUUUCCCUGAAAAUAAAAGUAUCAUAAAUUUAUAAUUAGUAUCAUAUUUAAUAAUAUGUUGGAGACAUCCUUUUAAAGUCAGGAAAAAGCAUACUUGCUUACGCCAUGUGUAUUUAACAUUAUACAAAAAGAUAUUAUACCUAGCAUGUUAAGACAAAAUGGAGUAAGCAAUGAUAAGAAUGUUAAAAAAAUGUAAAACUGACUCCAAAUAUUAUAAAUCAUAUACUAUUGAAAAUAAUAUAAUUGCCUACUCAAAUAAACUCAAAAUCUCAAAUAAACUGAAGAAAAUUAUUGAAAUUAUUUUAAAAACUAAAGAAUUGAAGACAAUUUGCUAUAUAAAAAGUUAACAUACAACAACCAGUUACAUAUUUAUAUACCAAGAAGAAGUAGCUAGAAAACAUAAUUUAAAGAAUGUAAUACCAAUAAAAUUAUGCACAUGGUUUUUAAUGGGCCACAUUUCUUUUAUAAGAAAAAUGACUGCCAUUGUAGGAAUUCUUUGUUGUUGGCAUUUCAUCUUGGCUACCCAUAAUUUUUCCUUGGGCUCCCAAUUCCCAGUCACUCACAUUCUUUGUAUUAUAGAAACAAUCUGAAUAGAGUCAUGGACUUUAAUUAGUUCAUUAGACUUUAAGUUUAAUUAGAUUUUAAUCGGUUUAAUUAGACUUUAAUUUGUUAACAGUAUGUAGCAUUUCCAUCCAACAGGAUGAAAAGUUGAACAAUCUCCUCAAAAAGCAACUAUAAAGGUGAAUGAAAGUGUCAAAACAAUUAUUUUAGCAUUCUGGAAAUUAACCAAAGAUAUGCAUGCAAAUGAAGAGAGAAGUGUUAUUCAUGAGAAUCACUGAAGCAUGGGCAGAUAUAGGGCAAUUUUAUAGUUUUCUUGAUGAAGACCAUUCCUAUGCCUCACCUGUAGCUCUACUGCUAGACAGUUCAACCUGGAUGAGACAGGCUAUGAAACCAAUAGUCUUAGCGCUGGUACCAGGGAAACUCACUUGAUUUAGAAUCUUGUCAGUUCCAGAAGUGCUCUCAUGAACAAGUAAAUAAGGAGGACCAGCAGUUCUGCUAGCCUGAACUAGAUUCUGUUUGGUGCAGGUAGCAGACUGUCAGACUAGCAGAGGAUUUUGUAGGAAAGACCAAGAAGUUAGGGAUACGAGGAAAGCUUGUUAAGUUCUUCAUGUAUCUCAGGUUGACAGGAGUUGUUGCCAUGCAAACAACGUUGUGUAGUUAGCCCAUGCCACCCCACAUUCCUGGUUGAUGAAGCCAAUAACAAACACAUACACACACACACACACACACACACACACACACGGUGAGAGAGAGAUAGAGAGAUUGAAACUGAUUGGCAGAAUCUACAAUUAAGGGGAAAAGUUGAGCUGAAAAUGGCCUGGAAUCUGAAUGUUCUUUACUACAAGCACAUAGAUCCAUCUUUAGAGAGUGGAAUCCUUACUGGCUUGAGUUGUUUGAGUGCAUACUCUGGCCAACUUUUGGCUGAACACAGAAUAUGCAGACACAGGGGCAACCUCUAGGAAUCCAGGCAUACAAAUAAGCAGAAGAAAAUAAACUGAGCAAGAUACACACACAGAGAUAUAUCAUAGUCAAGCUAGUGAAAUCCAAAGAAAAAAAGCAAUUCUUGAAAGCAGUAAGAAAAAAAAUAGCUCAUCAUAUACAGGAAAGGAAAGACAUCAUUAGUGCUUGACUUCUUAUUAGCAAAAAUGGAGGGCCAAAAGUAACGGAAAGACAUUUUAAAGAGUGGAAUAAAAGUACCUGUCAACUAGGAAUUAUAUAUUGAGAAAAUUCAUCAUUAAAAUGUGAGGGUAAAAUAAUAUUUUAUUCAGAUGAAAAACUGUGAUAACAUUUUACCAGCAAUUGUGUGUUAAAAUAAAUAGUAAAGGAUAUCUGUCAGGCUAAAAGAAAGUGACAGUAGGAAAUGAUUUUAAUUCAUAUGUUGAAAUGAGGAACAUCAGAUACAGUAAAUGUAGCAUAAGUACAAUUUGGGAGGCCAAGGCGGGUGGAUCACCUGAGGUCGGGAGUUCGAGACCAGCCUGGUCAACGUGUUGAAACCCCAUCUCUACUAAAAAUACAAAAAUUAGCCAGGCGUGGUGGCAGGCACCUGUAUUCCCAGCUACUCAGGAGGCUGAGGCAGGAGAAUUGGUUGAACCUGGGAGGCAGAAGUUGCAGUGAGCCAAGGCUGUGUCACUGCACUCCAGCCUGGGUGACAGAGCGAGACUGUCUCAAAAAAAAAAAAAAAAGAAAAAAUAUAUAACAUUUAUAUAUAUUAUAUUUUUGGUUUCUUUAACUUCUUAUAACAAUCUACAGGGCAAUAAACAUAAUACUCUUUUAUGAAAUUAUAUAGAUGUAGUGUGAAUGACAAUAAAGAAAAAAAAAGAGGAGGAAAAAGAGAAAAUAUAUUGGAGCAACAUUUCUAUAUUUUUACCAGAAUGAGGUCAGUAUUAUUCUGAAGUAGAGUAUAAUAAGUUAAGAUCUUUUUUAAACCCUUUAGCAAAAACUAAGUAAAUAGCUAGAAAAGGGAUUAAAAUGACAGAAGAAAUUAAAUGGUAGAGAAAAAGUAUAUUUGACACAAAAUAAGACAUUAGAAGAGAAAGAGAAGAACAAAAAUAUCAUAAAUAAAAUAGAAAGCAAAGAGCAAAAUGAUGGCCUAAAAUUUUACCAAAUCAAUAAUGAUAUAUUUUGAGUGAAUUAACUUAGCAUUUAAAUGUAAAAGCUAAAACUACUAGAAGAAGACAAAGAUAAAACUUUCAUGACAUUGAGGUGGGUAAAAAUUCCUUAGAUAGGCCAGGUGCCGUGGCUCGUGCCUGUAAUCCCAGCACUCUGGGAGGCUGAGGGGGUGGAUAACUUGAGGCCAGGAGUUCGAGACCAGCCUGGCCAACAUGGCAAAACCCCAUAUCUUCUUAAAAAAGAAAAAAACACAGAAAUUAGCCAGGCAUAGUGGCACAUGUCUGUAAUCCCAGCUACUCAGGUGGCUAAGGGACAUGAAUUGUUUGAAACCAGAAGGUGAAAGUUUGCAGUGAGCUGAGAUGUCACCACUGUGCUCCAGCCUGGGCUACAGAGUGAGACUCUGUCUUCAAAAAAAAAAAAAAGGAAAAAAAAAUUGAAAGAAAAAAAUUCUUAGAUAUACCACCAAAAGCAUAAACCUUAAAAGAAAAAGAAAGAGAAAAAAAGACACCGUUGUACUUCAAAAGACACCUUUAAGUAAAUUAAAACACAAAAUACAAACUGGGAGAAUGUAUUGUAUUUGUAAGUGAUUUGUGGUGAACUGACCCUAUGUGACACCCAAUAUCUUCCUCCGGGUGCCCAUGUCUUUCUUCAAUCCCUUCCCAUUCAAUGUAGGUAGGGCUUUGACUUGCUUGUAACCCAGAAUAUGGCAAAACGAUGAACUAUCACUCCAAUCAUUAGUUAUGUUAUGUAAGACUUUGUCUUAGCAGAAUGCAGUAAGAGAUUCUCCUUGCUAGCUUGAUAAACUAAGCAGCCAUGAUGAGGAAGCCCAAGUGUCAAGCAACUAUGGACAGCCUCUAGGAAUCAUGGGUAGCCUUUAGGAACAGUGGAUACCAUUUAGGACCUUAGGAAAGCCUCCAGACAAUGGCCAGCAAAAAGCUGGAACCCUCAGUCAUAUAUCAAAAAAAAAAAAGAAGAAGAAGAAGAAGAAUUCCAACAACCUGAAUAAGCUUGGAAGUAGAUCUUUCCCUGAUUGAGCCUACAGAGGAAAGUGCUGCCCUGUCCAAAUGUUGAUGACAGCCUAGUGAGAUUGAGUGGAGGACCCUGUUAAGUCAUGCCCAAACUUCUGGCUCAUAGAAAUUGUGAGAUAAUAGAUGCAUGUGUUGUUUAAAGCCACUAAAUUUGUGGUAAUUGGUUAUGCAGUAAUAUAAAUCAAAUACACUUUAUGUCUUACAAAAUAUAUAAAAAUAGAUGCAAAUGAUAUAAAUAAACUUUAAAUUCAAUAUUAAGAGUCAAAUGUUUCAAUUAAAAUGAUAAAAUGAUUUAAUAAGCAUGUAUUAAAAAAUAUAAAUGGUUAAUAAACACAGAAAGGGUGCUCAGCAUCGUUACUCUUUUGAGAAACCCAAAUUAAAAGCAUAACGAGAUAACACUAUCCACCCACUAGGAGGGCUAUAAUCAGAAGGAUAGAUAAUGCCAAGUGCUGGCCAGAAUGUGGAGAAACGAAAACUUGCACAUAAUGCUGGUGGGAAUGUAAGUUGAUAUAACCACGUUGGAAAAAGAUUUUCCUCAUUUUUUUAAUAGUCAAGCAAAAACUCAUCAUAUGAGCCAGCAAUUUCAUUCUUAUACAUAUUACCUAAGGAAAAAAGAAUAUGUAUGUCCACAUAAAGAUUGUAUAUGAAUGUUCAUAACCACAUUGUUUGUAAUAGCUGGAACUAAUUCAACAUCAGCUGGAAAGUAGAUAAGCACAAUGUGGUAUAUCUAUACGAUAGAAUACUAUUCAGCAAUACAAAGAAGAAAAUACUGAUUCAUGUUACAUCUUGGACAUACAUCAAAAACAUCAUGCUGUGUGAAAGAAACGAGGGGAAAAGUCUCCAUAUUAUAAACUUGUAUUUACAUAAAAUUAGAAAGCAAAUUUACAUAGGCAGAAAGAAAUCAGUGAUUUCCUGGGUCUGGCUGGAGUUAGAGGCAGAAAUAGACUGCAGACUGAGUGACUGGCAGAACAUUUUAGGGAUGAUGGAAAUGUUCUAAAUGUUUUAAUGUUCUGGAUAACGCUGAUGGUUGCACAACUUUAAAAACUGACUGAAAAUCAUUAAAUUGUAUACUCACCUGGGUGGAAUUUUUAUACAUAAAUUAUAUCUCAAUACAGCUGAUAAAAUAAAACAGAAGGGGAAUAUGGGGUAAACACAUAUUGUUGUUCUGCCUGUUAACAAUGGUCCUUUCCGAUAGCUAGCUUCUCCUUCCUCUACUGAUUAAUUUGGAGCUAGAAACACACAACUCAAGCUAGUUCAAAUAAAAUAUAGUUCUCUGGAAUCUGAAACUUGAAAUAAAAGACACAAAAAUUGAGCUAUAUUUGAACUCAAACAUAGUUCUCCUAUUCCAUCUCUUUCUGCUACAGAGAUCCUGAGAGGCAUUUGGUUUCUGCCUUCUCUAGUGAUUCAUGUUGUCAUGUCUGUGAGUGGAUUUUCUUCCAACAAAUUCAUUUUUCCCUAUGUUGGAGUAGUUUUCUAUUAUUUACAAUCAAAUCAAACACAACUAAUGUAGAAUUAAAUUUAAAAUCUACAGAUGGUAUACUUUAACAAGAGGACAUAUAAAUUGCAAGUCACUUAUUUUGUCUUUAUAAUAGUGUCUGUACCUUUAGUAACUCAUCUUCAAAUCUGUAAACAAGAAGGAAAUUGACAAACAGGGGGAUUUGCAAAGUCUUAAAGUUAUAAAAAAAUGGGUAUUCUUUGAGAGAUUAGUAAUAGACCCAUUAGAGGAUUAAGGAAGUAAUAAUUAUUGUCCAAAUAUCUACUAAAAUGAUUGAUAGAGAAUUUUUAUAUGAUAUCUUAUUUAAUCAUACACAAGAUAAGUUAUGUUUUUAUAUUUUAUAAUUUGAGGAAACUGACAAAAUAAGAAUAUGUACUUAUAUAGUAAUAGAAAAUAUUUAUGGAUCAACUGCUAGGUAUCAAGAUUUGUUCUAAGAGCUGUAUGUAAUUUAUUCUUCACAAGAACCCUAUGAAAUAAGAACAGUUAUCAUUACCACCCACUUUGAGAAGAAAAGAAGAGGCUCACAGAUGUGAAUCAGUUUGUCAAUGAAAUCUAGUAAGUGGCAAAACUGUAUUGGAAUGAAAUCAGUCUGGUUGGAGUCCUUAAUUGUGUAACCCCUGAACUAUAAAUCCUCUUCCAUUGCUUCAUGUAUGAUAUCUGUAAAGUGGCAGAGCUACAGUUGGAAUAUAUUUAUUUACUUCUAAAGUCUGUGGUAUUUACUUAUCAACAUACUCUUCAACAUCUAAAGUAACAUGUCUGGUGGCGGGCAGGAAGUAGAAAGAAGAGGUGCAGUGGGGAAGCUACAUAUAGGAAUCAUUUUUUUCUUGUGCAUUUUAGGGAGGACUGAGGUAACUGAAUGAAAUUGGAGGGUGGUACAGAGUGUGACUUCAUGAUACUAGAGAUGCAAUUUGAAAACUGUUAGAUUGCAGAGAGAAAAGGAUUUUCUCCCACACCAUGUUCUAAGUUUCUCUAAAACAACCCUUUUAUUUUAGCUCUCCAGGGUCAUGAUGGUAAUACACAAGAGUAAGGCUAGUGUUUAGAUGCUUUGGCUCUGCAUCACCCUGGAUGACUCCAAAUUAUAUCCCUUCUCUGCUCCAAAUUUUCUCUGCAAUUUAAGCUUCUUCUCUCUGCCAGGGUUGUCUCACAAUUUAAGGUGUGGUCCUCAAUAUUUCUCUGUUCCAUUUCACUAGUCUUUAGAACAUUAUAACAUAGUGAUGCAUAAUUUAUUUUCAUGCAAGUAUUAUCUCUAAUGACCCCACAUAAAGUAAUUUUGUAAUGUAAGAAUGGCCUUUUUUCCAUUACACAAAAGCAAUUUUCUCUGACAUA
RNAcentral lists this long non-coding RNA (11151 nucleotides) under Homo sapiens (human). Its description in RNAcentral is "HSALNT0125165". The record is from RNAcentral. Lineage: Eukaryota; Metazoa; Chordata; Mammalia; Primates; Hominidae.